CCCAUCUUAAAACCUCUCUCGCUUUAACAGGUAAGUCCAAGGCUCUGGUAGGAUCCACCCUUGAUUCCUUGAAUAAAAGGACUUGGUCUUCCUUGCCGCAAACAGAGACUUCGUUUCAUCUCUGCGUCGGCCGUUGCGCAAACAGAGAGCCUUCAUUGAUUCGUUUGCAGAGAAAGAAAGAGCUCUUUGUGGUGGUAAAAACGAUCGAGAGAUGAUGGUUGAGUUAUUUCUUCUUGGAUGUACUGGGAUUGUAUUGUUUCUCCACGGUGCUAAUUUCAUUUAUCAUGUUCUUUCCAAACAUGUCGCCGUCCGAUCACUCAGUUUCUUGGGAUUUGUUGGAUGGUAGAGCAAAGCGGGAAUCAAGAAUGAGGCGAUUAAUAAUUCCUUCUUUUUUAGUUUUUGAAUAGCAAAAAAACUGGGAUCUGCAGGGUCCUGAUCUCCGUGACAGCGCCCAGAUGGUUAAGCCUUGGCGUGAAGUAUGGAGAACCAUGCCUAUCCAAAGCGCAACUUUUAUUUAUUUGUUUUUUAAAAUUUUGUUGAGAUAGGAGUAGUUAGCAGCUUGGACAUGCCGUGACGCGCGCAUUGUAUAUAUUAUUACAUUAUGUUUCAGAAAGCUCAGGGGGGAAUAAAGUUUGAAAUAAAUGGGAAGCUGGCUUUAGUUGAGCCAAACCAUCUUGUAAUCCCUGAAUAAUUACUUCUAAUCUUCGAACAUGAACGCUAGAAUAGUUCAAAACUUCAGUCCAUUCUUCAA
Molecule: long non-coding RNA, 751 nt
Organism: Juglans regia (Persian walnut)
Lineage: Eukaryota; Viridiplantae; Streptophyta; Magnoliopsida; Fagales; Juglandaceae
Exons: 2
Source: RefSeq, a predicted model, not a curated record